UUGAACGCUGGCGGCAUGCCUUACACAUGCAAGUCGAACGGUAACGGGCCUUCGGGUGCCGACGAGUGGCGAACGGGUGAGUAAUACAUCGGAACGUGCCCGAUCGUGGGGGAUAACGAGGCGAAAGCUUUGCUAAUACCGCAUACGAUCUACGGAUGAAAGCAGGGGACCGCAAGGCCUUGCGCGGACGGAGCGGCCGAUGGCAGAUUAGGUAGUUGGUGGGAUAAAAGCUUACCAAGCCGACGAUCUGUAGCUGGUCUGAGAGGAUGAUCAGCCACACUGGGACUGAGACACGGCCCAGACUCCUACGGGAGGCAGCAGUGGGGAAUUUUGGACAAUGGGCGCAAGCCUGAUCCAGCCAUGCCGCGUGCAGGAUGAAGGCCUUCGGGUUGUAAACUGCUUUUGUACGGAACGAGAAGCCUUCUUUUAAUACAGGAGGGUCAUGACGGUACCGUAAGAAUAAGCACCGGCUAACUACGUG
RNAcentral lists this ribosomal RNA (481 nucleotides) under uncultured bacterium. RNAcentral describes it as "partial 16S ribosomal RNA". It matches the Rfam family "Bacterial small subunit ribosomal RNA", at positions 30 to 507 of the family's 1533-position model. The record is from RNAcentral.